AGAGACACUAAAGGACUUCAAAGAGACACUAAAUGACUUCAAAGAGACACGAAAUGACUUCAGAGAGACACUAAAGGACUUCAAAGAAACACUAAAGGACUUCAAAGAGAGAACAAACAACCAAAAAAAGUCAAGGAAAUGCAAAAAGAAUACUAAAACUAGUUCUGCACACGCCUGAAAUCCCUUCACUGUUGAUAGCGUGUACAUUGACUGUCAUCCCGCAGGAGAAUCUGUGCUCCUUUAAAUACGAGGAGCAGAUCAACAUCCUGCUGCUGCCUCUGCACACCGGCUCUAACGGUCUGAACAUCAUCGAGGCGACCCACGUUCUGCUGGUGGAGCCGAUCCUCAACCCGGCCCACGAGCUGCAGGCCAUCGGGAGGGUGCACCGCAUCGGGCAGACCAAGCCAACGUUUGUCCACAGAUUCCUCAUUAAAUCCACCAUUGAAGAGAGGAUGCAAGCGAUGAUGAAGACAGCAGAGAAAAGUCACACCACCACCAUGAAGCACUCGGAGGCCGCCGUGCUGACAGUGGCCGACCUGGCUGAUCUGUUUACUGAAGAACAUCUGGAGUCCAUGUGAACACCUGGACACACACACACACACACACACACACACACACACACACACACACACACACACACACACACACACA
Molecule: long non-coding RNA, 651 nt
Organism: Notothenia coriiceps (black rockcod)
Lineage: Eukaryota; Metazoa; Chordata; Actinopteri; Perciformes; Nototheniidae
Exons: 3
Source: RefSeq, a predicted model, not a curated record